UACGUAGGGUGCAAGCGUUGUCCGGAAUUAUUGGGCGUAAAGAGCUCGUAGGCGGUCUGUCGCGUCUGCUGUGAAAUCAGGCUCAACCCUGGACCUGCAGUGGUACGGCAGACUAGAGUGCGGUAGGGAGAUCGGAAUUCCUGGUGUAGCGGUGAAAUGCGGCAGAAUAUCAGGAGGAACACCGGUGGCGAAGGCGGAUCUCUGGCCGUACUGACGCUGAGAGCGAAGCAUGGAGCGACAGAUUGAGAU
RNAcentral lists this ribosomal RNA (249 nucleotides) under uncultured bacterium. Its description in RNAcentral is "partial 16S ribosomal RNA". It matches the Rfam family "Bacterial small subunit ribosomal RNA", at positions 524 to 783 of the family's 1533-position model. The record is from RNAcentral.